AUUGUAAGUUACACGAGCGCCGCGCGACUUUUCUAGGUUAUAGCAAAAUCGACACCUCAGCUCUCGGUGUCUCUGUGUAGACAGUGCCAGUGGUCCGGCGAAAUUUCAACGCCCCGCUGUCAGGCGACUCAAACGUAUUCGAUCAAUUCGAGCGAACGCGAGUGAAUUGGGAUCACGAGCGAGCCGCCGGCGCCGCGCGAGCAUCGGCUACAAUUUCACACCGCUAUGUCAGCUGUCUCGCGUUUGGUUUCCAGAGGACCUCACCGGACAGUCACACGCGCGCGCACGAUUCACAUUUUUCCUCGAAAUAAAUACCCGCAAUCCGAUAAAUGUUCCGGUCACGUUUUUAAUGCUUCCACCGAGUCAUAAACGUCACGGCGUUCGAUUUUACGACUAGUAUCUGGCUGUGAGUUUUCUUCUUUUUUUUUUUAUAACCUUAUUGCGGGCUGAAAGCCAGGGGGAAAUGCAGCGAGUGAACCGAGUCGAGGACAACGCGUCGUCGAUAAAUGGAUGAGCGAGCCGUAACAUGCGAAGAGGUCCCCACCGCUGCGAUAGAAAGGUAGUCGAAUCAUCCAACGAGGACGAGUCCCGCGUUCCCCCGGAGCCGAGCCAUCCAAAUUCCAGGUCAGCCCGUCCUACUCGAAAUUUUCGUCAAGUUUCCCGCAGGACUGCACAGGAGAGAGACGUCGGCCCCCCGAGUUUCCCCGAGCACAUCCGCCCGACUGCUCACGAGUCCGUCGAGACAAAAUUACCUCGGAGACGACUAAAAUCAACGGGGAGCGACGAAAUUCAAAAGAGGAGCGGCGCCGCCAAACAUCGUUGUCGAGAUAAACACGUUGAUCGUCAUCGGGCAAGUUUCGUCGCUGCCGCCGGGACAAAGUGUCCCCACAGUAGGAGCAGCAGCAGCAGUUCCUCGAGGGAACUUUGCGACAAGGGGAGACGACUACGACGUCGACAACGACGGCGAAGCUCGAAGCCGCGACACACGCUGAUAGCCGCGGCACAAAGGAGAAAGCUUGGAAGGAGCUUACGACGCUGCUCGAGCUCGGACAAUAGCAAGAGCAGCCUGAUCGUCUUGUACCGAGGCGGCGGUGCUGCUGCUGUGGCGGACUCCAGUCCGGACACUCGAAAGUCUCGCGAGGACCUGACGUCCGACUCGGUCGGCUCUCGAGUUCCUCAGAGCUCGAGAGCGCUGCCAGCCACUCGUCCCAGAGUCGAGAACCGCGCGGCUUCGUGCACCUGCUGCUGCGUUCCCAAACCAAGACGUCGGAUCGUCUCCAAGUCCGCGGAAUUUCGCUACUGCCGAGCUCUCGAGGAAGAGCCAUGCUUUGACUUUGCACUGGAAACCUCGAGUCUAAUGGCUCAGCGCUCCGGACAGCAGAGAUCGGAAAACUUGGAGCCCCACCUAGGACUGUUGAUGCAGCACUUACAGAGCAAAGCGGCGGGCGACGGUCAGCUCAACCGGAUCGAUUCCCAGAGGGUAUUCCCGUUCCAGGACACGCCCAGCGGCAAUCUCAAGAUCAUUCCGAACCAGGUGGUGUUCGAGUCGAAGAAGGUGAGCGUGCUGGUGGCGGAACCGCGUCACGCGAAAGUCAACGUCAAGGCCGAGCGCGGGGAUCAAGCGAGCGCCUCGCGUCCGAGGGAGAUCGACCUGCCGCCGGGCGUCACGGCCUCGACCGUCGACCGACUCCAGGCCCAGCACCGACUGCCGGCCGUCCCCAGCGAGUGCAGGCCCAGGACGCAGCCGGUCAACCGCGAGAAGAUGCUGCAGCAGAGGGACGAGGCCAAGCAGACGGUCGUCCAGAACGGACCCGUCAUCCGCGACGUGCCGCUCGCUACAUUAGGAUUUACGUCGGAGCAGCCGAUCGACUGGAAGAACAUAAGUCUGCCGGAGAAAACUGACCUCUACCAGGAGCUGUCCCAGCGCAUAACGACCUACAAAAAUGCCGACUGCAUCGUUCGCAUCGGGAACGACGAAUUCCACUGCCAUCUGCUAGUGCUGCAGAGCUACAGCGCGUUCUUCGACGAUAAAAACGUCAAAGAGAUCGACCUCGCCGGGAGCAGCGUGACCUCGAGAGCCUUCUCCAUUAUCUACGACUGGAUGAUAAGCCCGACGAGCGAGAGCUGCCACCUGCUCAGACGCGACAACAUUCUCGAGAUCUUUCUGGCCGCCCAGCACCUCGGCAUCAAAGAAUUGGAGGAGCAAUGCUGGGCGUUCAUCGACAACGAUGAGCUCUUCUCCGAGGACACGGCAUUCCUGCUCUACUUGGAAGCCCGAAAAAUAGGCAAUACCGCGGUCAUGGAGCUCAUGGUGCCGAGGAUCAUGAAAUUCUUCCUCAUGCUCGUCAGCACCAAGGACUUUCUCGAGCUGGCCGUCGAGGAGCUCUGCCUCCUGCUCAGAUCGAACUACAUAUCCGUCAACAGCGAGAUGGAGGUCCUCAUGUCCGCGGUGAGGUGGCUCAUGCACGACUGGGAGGGCCGAAAGCCGUACCUGCUGGACGUGAUGAAGUGCGUGAGGUUCGGCCUAAUCGCGCCUUGGCAACUGGUUGACGUCAAGCGAAACCCGGAGAAUCCGGAAUUCAUGGAGCUCAUGUCCUACCCGGAGAUCCAGAAAAUGGUCGACGACGGUUUAGCUUUCGUUAUCAUCAAAUACUGGUACGGCAAUCAAACGGAAGACUAUUACCACUGGAUCGAUCUGCUCGGAUUAACGGAGCCGACUAACCGGAAUUGGGCCGGCGAAGAUAAGAACUACGUCACCUACAGAGAGUUUCUUCUCUAUCUGGAGGAGUACCAGAGGACGAAAAUUUCCGAGCUGAAGAACAAAAAGUCCUCCCAGGAAAAACCCUCGCCUCCGAGCUCACCUCCGAAGGAGGACUCCUCGUCCCAGCAGUCGACGCCGCCGGCGAGAGCCCGUAUCAAUCAUCAGAAUUCAAAAGCCGGGGAGAACUCGUCGUCCCCGAGCAAUUCGAGGCCAUCGAAGCACUCGACAACGACGGACGCCUCGGGUAAUAACGUACCACACGCGGUGCCACCCUGCAUGAUGAUGCCACCGGAGGUUCUCGGUCAAUAUCUCAGUAGCAUGGGUAGAAACGGCGCCAAGCCGGUAACCGGGGACGUCAGGAAGUGUAGUAAAUCAGGGAUGAAUACGUGUUGCGCGAAGAGAUUUAGUGGUGGCGGAGAAUUUCCCAUUAAACUGAUCGUUAGGGCUGCCUGUCGACCGGAUACGGAAAAAAAUAGUCUUCCCGACGUUAAAUCAAAGCUACCGAAACAGCGCCGCGACAGUGUCCUCAAGCCGGGAUCAAAAUAUUUGUAUUCGAGGCAGAGCCUGAGCUCCUCUUUGAGCAAUUCACCGAGAAAAUUGCCGAGCACGGGCCGCUCCGGCGAAAGAAGUGACUCUUCGAAAUCCGAAGAGGAAGCCGCUACCAGCAUCCAAGCGGUCUACCGAGGCUACAAGACGCGGAGAAAAUUGAAAGAGAUAACAAAGGAGUCCGCCUGCUACGAACAAACAGCGAAUUUGCACAAGUUCGAACCCGUCAAAGUCGCGCUUCUCUACUCGGAUAGUCGCUCCGAACAAGGCGAAACGCUGGAUAAGACUCCCGCCUUUGUCGAGAGGGAGGAUAAUCACGUUUCCGCGGAGAUCCAGAUGUCGCAGCUUUCUCGGGAUGAAAAUUGCCGGGCGAUAGAAACCAUAAUGCCGCCGCCGGCGUAUUCUCCGGCUAACGAGGAAAAAACGAGCACCGACACCGCCACCGAUCCGGACGAAGCUGCCGCUUGUUUGGCCCGUAAUGAAGACAGAUCGAAUGCAGCCCUCGAGAGGAAUAACAAGAAGAAGACUCUGCACUGCUCGACGGGCGAGCUGAGGAAGAAAUUGCGCAAACUUAGAAAUUUCUGACCUGUAACAAGAUGCGCCGCAAAAAAAGCCCGGAGCAGCUCGCUCCAGUUUUCGGGGCGCAUCGAUCGGUCGGAUUACGGUCGACGCGCGCGAGGACGUGUGCAGAGCGGAGCAGCAGGCCCCGGCAGGCUAACAGUUGGCAAUUCGUCGAGAUGCGCAUCAUCAUUCAGUGGCUUACUCUCGACGGGCCGUAUCUACUUAGCCGGGGAUCGAACGAACUGGACGCCGCGAGCUGGUUCUGACUCGCACGGGAGAGCCGAAGGAGCUGCUUGUUGAUUAGAAAUGCCAAAAAACGCUUCGAGGCUUCCUAAAUCUCACUUAGAGUGUACCGAAAACGCCCUGAUCAUACACGAGCUAAUAAAUUCUCAGUGCUGUGGAAA
This is an RNA transcript of Nasonia vitripennis (jewel wasp), 4272 nucleotides long. RefSeq lists it as uncharacterized. The record is from RefSeq and is a predicted model, not a curated record. Lineage: Eukaryota; Metazoa; Arthropoda; Insecta; Hymenoptera; Pteromalidae. The transcript is spliced from 24 exons.